UAGGGAAUCUUCCACAAUGGGCGCAAGCCUGAUGGAGCAACACCGCGUGAGUGAAGAAGGGUUUCGGCUCGUAAAGCUCUGUUGUUAAAGAAGAACACGUAUGAGAGUAACUGUUUACCCAGUGACGGUAUUUAACCAGAAAGCCACGGCUAACUACGUGCUAG
This 164-nucleotide ribosomal RNA is filed under the name uncultured bacterium. RNAcentral's name for it is "partial 16S ribosomal RNA". It matches the Rfam family "Bacterial small subunit ribosomal RNA", at positions 355 to 511 of the family's 1533-position model. The record is from RNAcentral.